Molecule: ribosomal RNA, 253 nt
Filed under: uncultured bacterium
Lineage: Bacteria
Description: partial 16S ribosomal RNA
Rfam family: Bacterial small subunit ribosomal RNA
Source: RNAcentral
UACAGGGGGUGCAAACGUUGCUCGGAAUUAUUGGGCGUAAAGCGCACGUAGGCGGACUACUAAGUCAGGGGUGAAAUCCCGGGGCUCAACCCCGGAACUGCCUUUGAUACUGGUAGUCUCGAGUCCGGAAGAGGUGAGUGGAAUUCCGAGUGUAGAGGUGAAAUUCGUAGAUAUUCGGAGGAACACCAGUGGCGAAGGCGGCUCACUGGUCCGGUACUGACGCUGAGGUGCGAAAGCGUGGGGAGCAAACAGG